This 4959-nucleotide ribosomal RNA is filed under the name Triticum aestivum (bread wheat). RNAcentral describes it as "partial small subunit ribosomal RNA". The record is from RNAcentral. Lineage: Eukaryota; Viridiplantae; Streptophyta; Magnoliopsida; Poales; Poaceae.
AUGGCGGGGGAGUUGGGUCAGCAGACAGUGGAGCUGGGGACUGUGGCGCGGCAGGCGGCGGAGGAGUCCUACCUGGCGCUGCGGGAGCUCGUGGAGAAGUCGCGGGCGGGCGCCGAGGGGGAGGCAGCGCAGCAGAGGUCGGAUACUGAGAAGAAGAUCGACCUGCUCAAAUUCAUCGACCGCACCCGCCAGCGCAUGCUCCGGCUCCAUGUCCUCGCCAAGUGGUGCCAGCAGGUGCCCUUGCUUCAUUACUGCCAGCAACUUGCGUCAACUCUCUCCAGCCAUGAAACUUGCUUCACCCAAACAGGCGAUUCACUGUUCUUUAUGCAUGAAGGAUUGCAGCAAGCUCGUGCUCCCAUUUUUGAUGUUUCAUCUGCGAUAGAAGUCAUACAUACAGGGAGCUAUAGGAGAUUGCCUAAAUCUGUAGAGGAAAUAGGUACUCAGAAUACACUUUUUCAAGAUGAGCGGAGGCCUACAUUGAAGAAAUUAAGCACCCUUGUGCGGGCAAAAUUACUUGAAACCCUAGUUCCUAAAGAAAUGUCUGAGGUUUCGGUGACUGAUGGAAUAGCCAAUGUACAGGUAGAUGGCGAAUUCAAAGUACUCCUUACGUUAGGUUACCGUGGGCACUUCUCGCUGUGGAGGAUUUUGCAUAUUGAGUUACUUGUUGGUGAGAAGACCGGGCCUAUUAAGCUUGAAGAGACAAGAAGGUAUGUUCUGGGUGAUGACAUCGAACGGAGAAUGGCUGUGGCUGACAAUCCCCUCACAAUUUUGUAUACAAUUCUCCAUGAGCUAUGCAUCUCUUUUGUUAUGGAUACCGUAAUUAGACAGACUAAUGUUCUACGACAAGGUAGAUGGAAAGAGGCAAUAAAAUCUGAACUUGUCUCGGAUAGUCAUAGAAGUGCAGGACAAGGUGGGAAUAAUGCUCCAACGCAGCUUGGUCAAGAUGGAGAGCUCGAUUCAAGUGGGUUCAGGAUACCUGGUUUGAAAGUAAAUUAUUGGCUGGAUGAAAGAAACAGUGGGUCAGCAGAAUCUGAUUCAUCUCCAUUUAUUAAAGUUGAGGCACUGCAAGAUAUGCAGAUAAAGUGUCAGCACAGUUCAUUUGUAUUGGAUCCACUUACAGAUAAAGAAGCUGAUCUUUCUCUUGAUCUGAGUUGCAUUGAUGUUGAGGCAAUCAUUUUGAAAGCAAUUGCUUGCAAUAGACACACACGUCUUCUGGAAAUUCAGAGGGAGUUGAAAAAAAAUACUCGGAUUUCUCGAUCUCCAACUGAUGUCGUCCUGAAACGGAAAGAAGAUCAUAUGGACGUCCUGCAAAAGAGAGUGGAUAGAAGGGGCUUCGAGAAUUGUUGUACAAAUGAAGUGCUUCAGGUUAGGGCAUAUGGAAAAUCGUAUAUUCACCUGGGAAUAAAUAUCAGGAGUGGUGGCUUCCUCCUGCAAUCACCAAAAAAUAUAUUACCACCUUCUGCAGUAUUAGACUCUGAAGAAGCCCUUAAUAAACAGAGCAUAACACCCACUGAGGUCUUCGUGAGCUUAAAGACCAGAAGCAUCCUUCACUUGUUUGCUGCGACAGGAAGGUUUUUGGGCCUGAAGGUUUACUCUGAGUGUCAGAUUACUCUGAAGAUACCAAAAUCCAUACUGUAUGGUUCAGAUUUUAUGGUUAUGGGAUUUCCUUGGCGUACAAAUGCCUAUUAUCUUCUGAUGCAACUUGAUGACAACCUCAUGCCGGUUUUUUAUUUGCUUGAGGUGCAUACUGACGGAGAAGACAGGUCUAAUAUUGAUACAACCACUGAUGCUAAAGAAGUUGUAAGGUUUAACAGAAUUGACAUUGGCCAGAUGCAACUAGGUGAAGAUGAAUGCAUUGCAAAUCUUCUCGAUGUAGAGAAAUUGCAGGUGCUACAAAGCAUGGAAGAUGGGUCUCCCAGGCAUAGUGAAAUUGAUGAGUCUCUUCUUCUAAAGCCUUCAUUUUCUUCUGUUGUUAACACAGUAUUAGGAUAUGAGCAAGAUUCUCCAAGUAAGGAAAAUUGGCUGUCUUAUAGUUCGCCCUCAACUCAUUUGAGUUCUCAAAAAGUUGGCCGUCAGGGGGUUAGCAGUAGAGCUGGCCCACCUGAACUGGAUGAUGACUUACUACACUCUAACAUUGACACAGCAAAAGUCGCUUCUGGUGUCACUUUGGACAGUUAUCUGCUGAGUAAUUCGAAGUCUGCAUAUAGUACAGAGACCUCCGGUUUGGUCCCUGCAGGUUUUGAGAAUAUCUCCACUUUACGCUCUGAAGUUCCAUCUGGAAAGAGAUAUCUUUCAGAGUUCUUGUUGAACAUCCCAUCAUUACAGCGAUCAAUAAUCAGUGGUGGGCCAAGAAAGAGAAGAAAACUGCCAGAAGUUGCAAGCAGUGUGCAAUCUCGAACAACCCUCACCUAUGGAACUAUACUGAGAGAAGGAAAUUGUUGUAUUACAGAAAAUAUAUAUGCUUCUGUGCUUCUUCAAGUCAUAAAGCAUUGUUCGCUUCGUAUCAAAUAUGCUCAACUGACUACCCAGAUGAAUUCUCUUAACAUUCCAUAUGUAGAAGAAGUUGGUCUGGGGACACCCUCCUCUAAUCUUUGGUUACGGCUACCUUUUGCUCAAGAUGGUUCUUGGAAACACACAUGCUUACGUCUCGGUGAAGCUGGAAGCAUGUCAUGGGGUGUUAGGAUCAACGAUCCAUAUUAUGGUGCACUGUGGGAACUUCAUGGAGGCAGCAAUACUACAGAAUGGGGUUCUCGUGUUCGCAUUGCAAACACUUCUGAGAUGGAUUCACACAUCUCUUUUGACUAUGAUGGGAUCACUUUGACUUACAACUCUGUUGAGGCUGAUAGUAUACAGCGGCUUGUCUCAGAAUUACGGCGACUUUCAAAUGCUCGUGUAUUUGCUUGUGGAAUGCGGAGGUUGGUUCGUGUUAAAGUAGAUGAGAAAUUAGUUGAGAAUCAGUUAGCUACAAAGGCAAAGUUACAUGCAAGAAAAGGUUUCAGGAACAGGUUAUCGGACCAGAUGGCUAAAAAUUUCCGAAUUAACGCUGUUGGUUUGAUGAACUUGUGGUUCAGUUAUGGUGCCAAUGCCAUGCCCAUGGUUCACUUUGUUGUCGAGUGGGAGGCCGGUAAGGUUGGUUGCACAAUGCGUAUUUCACCAGAUCAUCUUUGGCCACAUACAAAGUUUUUGGAGGAUUUUGUGAAUUGCAAUGAGGUAGCAUCAUUUUUGGAUUGCAUCAGACUGACAGCAGGUCCUUUACUUUCCCUUGGUGGUGCAAUUCGUCCUGCAAAGAUGCCUGCUGUCCCUGCUGUUUGCGGUUCUGCACAAAAGCAAAACAAUGUUCUUUUGGCAAAUGGUUCAUCAUCAACUACUGUGCAUAUAAACAGUCAUGAUGCUCAGACUUCCUCUAUGCUCUCUGCCGUAGGCCGGACAGGGCAUGGACUAGUUCCUAGUUCUUUGAUGCCUUUUGAUGUUUCUGCUGUGCUCCGUGGGCCGUACUGGAUACGCAUUAUAUAUCGCAAUAAGUUCUCUGUUGACAUGCGCUGCUUUGCUGGGGAUCAGGUCUGGCUGCAGCCAGCAACCCCUCCAAAAGGCGGACCUUCAAUUGGUGGAUCUUUACCUUGUCCACAAUUUCGACCAUUCAUAAUGGAACUUGUUGCUCAGGGUCUAAAUACUCUUGAGCCGAGCUUUCUGAAUGCUAGACAUACUAGUGCCAAUACUUCAUCUGGAAGUCAACAGGCAGUUACUACUACGAAUCGCUUGAGUGGUGGUGCUCCUGGGGAAAUUAAGCUAACUUCAGGUGUUGGUUGUCAGAUAGCAGCUAGUGUGAGUAGAGCAGGCAAUGCCACACUACCUUCAGGAGACGGAGCUCCUGCACACCUUUCUCCUGACACUAACCUUCCUGUGCAUAUGAAAGGAGAAUUGAACACAGCUUUUAUCGGGCUUGGAGAUGAUGGUGGCUAUGGUGGUGGCUGGGUCCCUCAUGCUGCUCUUAAGAAGGUGUUGCGAGGCAUUCUCAAGUACCUUGGAGUUCUAUGGUUGUUUGCACAAUUGCGUGAUAUUCUGAAAGAUAUAUUGGGGUCAGUUUUGAAAGAUAAUGAAGGUGCACUUCUGAAUUUGGAUCAAGAACAGCCAGCGUUGCGCUUCUUUGUGGGUGGUUAUGUCUUUGCAGUUAGUGUUCAGCGAGUUCAAUUGCACCUUCAAGUUCUUAAUGUGAAGAGGUUUCACCACCAGCAACAGCAACAGCAACAGCAAGCUCCUCAGAGCAGUGCUCAGGGAGAGCUAACACCAUUUGAGAUACAUGAGAUAUGCGAUUACUUCAGCAGAUGUGUUGUCUGUGAACCUUAUGAUGCUUCUAGGAUUGCUUCUUUUAUCAUGUUGCUUACUCUGCCCAUUUCAGUUAUACAAGAAUUUGUAAAACUAAUUACAUGGAAUAAAAGCUUGUCCGAGGCUCAUGGGGACAUUGCUGCUGCAGAGCGGGCACGGGCUGAACUUUGUUUGGAAAAGCAUCCAAGAUCAGUUUCAGAUGAUUAUACUGAACCUUCUUUAUUAUCCAAGAGUAAUAUUCAGCAUGACCGAGCCAACAAUUCAGUAGAUUUUACCCUCACUUUUGUGCUUGACCAUAAUCUUACACCACAUGCGAGGACAUCUGGUGGAGCUGCUUGGUUACCAUUUUGUGUUUCUCUGAGAUUAAGGUACACCUUUGGGGAUACUAGUCAUAUCGCAUACCUUGCAAUGGAUGGCAGCCAUGGUGGUUGGUCUUGCUGGUUGCAACACGAGGAUUGGGAGAGGUGUGAGCAGAGUGUUGUUAAAGCAGUGAAGACGGUGAAUGGAUCGCCAGCAGGUGGAGAGACAAGCCGAGGAAGGCUGCAAAUGGUUGCUGAAAUGGUCCAAAAGCAACUGCAACUGUGCCUAGUGCAUUUAAGAGAUGGCUCGCUUUCUGCUGGCUCAACUCGACCAUGA